CCCGCCUGCCCUGUGACCAAAAGUUUAACGGCCGCGGUAUCUUGACCGUGCGAAGGUAGCGCAAUCACUUGUCUUUUAAAUGGAGACCUGUAUGAAUGGCAUAACGAGGGCUAAGCUGUCUCCUUUUUCCAGUCAAUGAAAUUGAUCUGCCCGUGCAGAAGCGGGCAUGAAAACAUAAGACGAGAAGACCCUAUGGAGCUUUAGACACCAGAAGAGCCUGCGUUCAAUUAACCUUAAUCACAAGACCAAACAAAGCAGCCCCUGUUCAAUUGUCUUCGGUUGGGGCGACCGCGGGGGAACAAAAAUCCCCCACGUGGAAUAAGGGAACCCCCUUUAAAAACAGGGCCACAGCCCUAAUAAACAGAACAUCUGACCAUCAAUGAUCCGGCACCAAGCCGAUCAACGGACCCAGUUACCCUAGGGAUAACAGCGCAAUCCUCUUCUAGAGCCCAUAUCGACAAGAGGGUUUACGACCUCGAUGUUGGAUCAGGACAUCCUAAUGGUGCAGCCGCUAUUAAGGGUUCGUUUGUUCAACGAUUAAAGUCCUACGUGAUCUG
RNAcentral lists this ribosomal RNA (557 nucleotides) under Eleotris picta (spotted sleeper). Its description in RNAcentral is "partial 16S ribosomal RNA". It matches the Rfam family "Bacterial large subunit ribosomal RNA", at positions 1854 to 2607 of the family's 2925-position model. The record is from RNAcentral. Lineage: Eukaryota; Metazoa; Chordata; Actinopteri; Gobiiformes; Eleotridae.